AUGCACGCUGGCGGCGUGCCUAAUACAUGCCAGUCGAGCGAACAGACGAGGAGCUUGCUCCUCUGACGUUAGCGGCGGACGGGUGAGUAACACGUGGAUAACCUACCUAUAAGACUGGGAUAACUUCGGGAAACCGGAGCUAAUACCGGAUAAUAUAUUGAACCGCAUGGUUCAAUAGUGAAAGACGGUUUUGCUGUCACUUAUAGAUGGAUCCGCGCCGCAUUAGCUAGUUGGUAAGGUAACGGCUUACCAAGGCAACGAUGCGUAGCCGACCUGAGAGGGUGAUCGGCCACACUGGAACUGAGACACGGUCCAGACUCCUACGGGAGGCAGCAGUAGGGAAUCUUCCGCAAUGGGCGAAAGCUUGACGGAGCAACGCCGCGUGAGUGAUGAAGGUCUUCGGAUCGUAAAACUCUGUUAUUAGGGAAGAACAAAUGUGUAAGUAACUAUGCACGUCUUGACGGUACCUAAUCAGAAAGCCACGGCUAACUACGUG
RNAcentral lists this ribosomal RNA (496 nucleotides) under uncultured bacterium. Its description in RNAcentral is "partial 16S ribosomal RNA". It matches the Rfam family "Bacterial small subunit ribosomal RNA", at positions 29 to 507 of the family's 1533-position model. The record is from RNAcentral.